Molecule: long non-coding RNA, 1694 nt
Organism: Alexandromys fortis (reed vole)
Lineage: Eukaryota; Metazoa; Chordata; Mammalia; Rodentia; Cricetidae
Exons: 3
Source: RefSeq, a predicted model, not a curated record
UCAAUUUCCAGGACUGUCUCCAAAAGGGGUAGGGGGCAGGGGCAGGGGAUUUGAAUAGGAUAGGCAGUGGGCUGGAAAUGCCAUAGGUUCUAGAAGAGUGUCCCGUAUGUCACACAAAGACAAAGCUGAAGCUGGGCACGAAAUCAACGCAGUGGAUGGUGUCCGAUGCUUUGCCAGGGAGUGGUGCCACCCAGAGAGAACAGAGAGCAGGUUGGAUGCUCAAAUAUUCAGAGACUGUGGAGUUGAACCAGUAAAGGGGCCAGAAAAGGCCACAUGGCCAAUGGGGUGGAUAAGAACUAAGAAAAACCAAUGCCUCAGAAACAGGGGCGAAUAUUUCCAAGUGCAGACGGCCCGCUGUGCUGUGGAAUAACCCUUCUGUGCACUGUGAAGGUGUGUCACUCUCAUUGUUAAUAAAGAAUUGAUUGGCUGGCCAAUGGCUAGGCAGAGAGCAUGCUGGGGAAAAGAAGGGUGGAGUCUCAGGAGUCAGGGGAAGACGCUAUGAGAGGCAGAGCAAACAGGAUGGGAAGGAUGUAGAUGAGGUAAAUGAGCCUCGGGGCAGCAAAUAGAUGAAGAGAAAUGGGUUAAUUUAACUCAUAAGAGCUAGCUUAAAGGCUGGAGAGGUGGCGCAGCGGUUAAGAGCACUGGCUGCUCUUCCUGUGGUCCUGAGUUCACUUUCCAGGAACUACGUGGUGGCUCUCACACCAUCUGUAAUGAGAUCUGGCGCCCUCUUCUGGUCAGAGUACUGUAUGCAUAAUAAAUAAGUAAAUCCUUUUUUUUUAAGAGCUAGCUUAAGAUAAGCCUAAGCUAUCAGCCGAGCAUUUAUAACUAAUAUUAAGUCCCUGUGUGGUUAUUUGGGAGCCCUGGUGGGACAGAGCUGAUUGAUGGUCCUGAUGGAAAACUCCGCCUACACAGCUGCUGUGGUGAACGUCCUUUUCUCUAGAGACUCAACUACUAGUUCUGCUACCCCUUGGCUACUGUUGCCCAGCCAGUGAGCCCUGAACAGCCUGUGCCCUGUUAACCUCAGCUCUGUUGUUCCUAGCAGGUGGGUGUGUACCAUGCGGCUCAUUCUGCAGCUAUCCUUCCUUAUAUCAUCUUGCAUGAGAAUGUUCACAUGUAUUCUUGGUAUAUGUGGAGUUCCGGCACUACCACCACCUCUUAGGAUGUAGAAGCUUCACAGGAAGGAACAGGAAGACUGGAGACAGAAGUGGGUCUGAUCCAUGCUCCAAGCCUUGGCUUCAGACUUGUGGAAAACACUUCUACAGGAUGCUCAGGCAAACCAGCACCGACACACCCAUUGCUCUAGCAAUGUCACUUUUCAGUGUGAUGCAAAGGCCAGAAGGGGGCAUCAGAUCCCGUGGAGCUGGAGGGUGCUGGGAUUGUCUCCAGUCCCCACAAAUGGUUUUCUUUGCUUCCCAGCAGGGGGUCAGCCUGAAGUCCUUCAGCAUCUUCUCUACUGGGAUCCUGGCUAACCCCAUCCCCAACACCCCCUGUGACAGAGUCUCAGGUAGCCAUGGCUAGCUCACAUAUACCUGAAACCGAAGAAGGCCUAACUCUGGACUCCUGCCUUCAGUUCCUAAGUACUGGGGACUAUAGGCAUGUAUCACCAUGACCAGUGGGAAGCCACUAAUCUGCCCAUCCUCCCAGUGAACAGAAAAAGUUCAGCCUUGAGGAUUCCUUCUGAGAUCAGAGCAGAC